Ctenopharyngodon idella (grass carp) is the source of this 1683-nucleotide long non-coding RNA. RefSeq lists it as uncharacterized. The transcript has 4 exons. The record is from RefSeq and is a predicted model, not a curated record. Lineage: Eukaryota; Metazoa; Chordata; Actinopteri; Cypriniformes; Xenocyprididae.
GCCUGGAGGAAACCUGAGUUCCCCAUUAUGUAGCUACGAAAAAACAGAAGCCUCCUCUUGUUUUGACAGGAGGAGGUUGGUUCACACCAUUGACAUAGCCUAUUUCAUUCCACCAACAGCAGACCUUUUCACGCGCCAGCUGUGCAGCUGUAAUCAAGCUGCACAUUUUAAUUCUGCAUGGCACUAUACCGCGGGAAAUUCGCCGCUGCUUGUCCCAUUUAAAAUUCGCAGGAAUUACUUUAAUCAAAGACCAGUGACUGACAUGAAACUCAAUAACGGAGGUACCAUACUUGAAUGUCUCUGGAGGCCCCUAAUAAAAGUCUGGAGACUCCUGUGCUGCCGUGAAACUGACUAUGAAAUAAAACUAUCAGAGGAAGAAACAGAACUAAUUCCCAUCAUCACCGAUGUCCCUAGCUCUGCCCGUCCAUGGUUUUAAAACUGAGGAGAAGAUGAUGGAGUUUAGUAAGGAGCUCCUGUUUUCACUUUCUGGAACAGCUCUCCUGGAAAAGACCUUCCCAAAACACCCAGACCUCCGGUCCAUUUGUUUCACUGGAAAUGGAAAACCGAGUCCAGUAUCGCAUUAUAGAAAACAAUAUUUUCUUCAUAUACAAGUAAAAAAAAAAGCACGGCACUGUUAUUCUGAUAAUGCUCAGCUGUAACUUCAGGAGUAUUCAAACUUGAUGAAAUUAAUGUCUAAACUGUUUUACAAUUGCAUGAGAAAACAGAUUGUCAUUUUUUUUAGCCCUAUACUGGAUUUGUUAAAGGUCCCACCAAGGUUACCUUUGGUUCAGACAAGCAGAUUAAUGCUGUUGUGAAAAGUAACUUCUUCCAGCUUUGGGCUGUUAGCACACCGAAAUCUCAGGUACUUUUAUGUGUUUUGUUUGUUUGUUUUAUUUACUCUGACAAUUUAUGCCUGGUACUAUUAAGAGGGACCAUAUUUCAUCUACACUGGCCCCUCUUUACUGGUUACCAGUCCAGUUUAGAAUUAAGGUAUUGUGCUGCAGGGAUGACAUAUUUUUGUAGGCCAACCUGGAAAAUGAAGAAAAAAGCUCUGAAGAAAAGUGUAUUAUUCGGAAGCAUAAAUACAAUGGACAGAAGUAAAAAAGUAAAUGUAGGCUAUAAAUUAACAACAGCACGGUCACAUGACUUCAACGUCACCACCAUUAGGCUUCUGACAACUCUAUCAGUCUUUAUUUCAAAAACAUUUCCCCUGAAAAUUUGAGUUAGAAUAGCUUGCAAGAUCGUGAUAAUGAACACAAUGAGGCUGUAAAAGUGGACGAGUGAGUAAAUGAGUUUACAUGUUCGACUGAUGACGUUUUACAUUUAAUGUUAAAAACUUGCCUUAAGACAUAUAUUUGUAUUGGUUUUCUUUUGUUUUAUGUCUAAGUAUAUGUCUAUCUAUGUUAUUGUGCACAAAUUUUGUAAGCACUUUUUUUCCAUUUUUUUGUAUGUUAAAAUUGUAUGAAAUGAGAUUUGCAAAAAUGUAUACUUCCAAAACUGAAUGCAUAAUGUAUAUUAGCCAGUGACAGAUAAUCAGGGAGAAUUUUGGUGUGAUUUGUUAACCUAACAAACCCAGUGUUUUAGUUAGGUUAGCAGCUUAUUUCUGCCUCUGUGGAAUUGUAGUUGAAAUGGCAGAGAACUUAUUUUUUUUCCAAACUAAAUAAAAAUGAAAGUGAAAGUGUU